CAUAUUUUAGAAUUCAGUGACCUUCAAUGAUGUGCAUGUGAAAUUCAGCCAAGAAGAGUGGGCUUUGCUGAAACCUUCACAGAAACAACUCUACAAAGAUGUGAUGCUAGAGACCUGUAAAAACCUCACUGCUAUAGGCUACAAUUGGGAAGACCAUACCAUUCAAGAACAUUUUCAAAGCUCUACAAGUAAUAAAAGCUGUGGCUUGACUUAGACUUGCUUGUUAGACCAGCCUGACCUCAACAUCACACAGAUCUGCCUGCUUCUGUGUCCACAAGUGCUGGGAUUAAAGGCAUGAACCAGCACAGCUGGCUGUGUCCUGGAGGUUUUAAAGAAAAGCAACCAUGUAAAAAAGCACUGAUUUAAGUGUACUGAUGAUCAUUAAAAUCUCACAAUUCCAUUUACCUCAAUGUCAGGUAUCUGAUUUAUGUUUGCAAGGCAUUCCUUAAGAUAGAAGAAAAUAAAAUAAUGUUGUAACAGAAAAUACCAUUUGAAUCAUAUAGACAUUACAGCUACUGAGUUGAACUGCCAAUCUGUUUAGUCUCAUUUUAUCUACUCAGAUAUUUUAAGAGGUAUACAUAUUGAAUAGGCGAUCAGUAUGUGUCCAAAACUUUCUAAUAACAACCACUGUUACUCAUAUUCAUGCAGGCACAUUUUAAAGUUUAGUGAAAGGAGCAGCUUAUGAGAGUCAAGAAUAUUGUUGUGGAGAAACCUUAAUCCCUAUAUGACAUGUCUAUGAUGAACAAAAAACAAACUGUGUUAAUUCAA
Meriones unguiculatus (Mongolian gerbil) is the source of this 768-nucleotide long non-coding RNA. RefSeq lists it as uncharacterized. Lineage: Eukaryota; Metazoa; Chordata; Mammalia; Rodentia; Muridae. The transcript has 3 exons. The record is from RefSeq and is a predicted model, not a curated record.